Brachypodium distachyon (stiff brome) is the source of this 135-nucleotide non-coding RNA. The record is from Rfam. NCBI's taxonomy places the organism in Eukaryota, Viridiplantae, Streptophyta, Magnoliopsida, Poales, Poaceae.
AAUGUACUCCCUCCGUUCAACAAAAGAUGUCUCAAGUUUGUCAAAAUUUGGAUGUAUCUAGACAUGACUUAGUGUAUAGAUGCAUUCAAUUUAGUCAAAGUUGAGACAUCCUUUGUUGGACGGAGGGAGUACUUA